CAGGGGCCAGGGGGUCUGGUUUUAUAGUCCCUUCAAGUGAAUACUUUGAUUCUGUAGAAGAGGUAUGAUCUCCAGGGGCCAGGGGGUCUGGUUUUAUAGUCCCUUCAAGUGAAUAUGGGCCGUUGGAUCAAACCGACAUUGAUUGAACGGUUAUCCUUGAUCCUUUAGGUCGGUCGAGAUUGAUCCCGAAAGAGAGUCCUGUUUGGACUCUAGGAGGGGGCGGGCGCCCAGGUCAACUGGGCGGGCGCCCAGUGCCUGGCCCCGUUCGGCCUCCACUUCCUUCUCGUGGCUUCUGGAGUCUUCUAGAUGGCAGAAAAUUGCGCGGCACGUUAGUAUCUCUAUGUAAUCCCGACGUGUGGGCCUUUCUUCCGUAUUUCCAGAUAACCCCUGCAGAAAUAAACAAACACCAAAACUCGUGGAAUUCUGUCAGAUAAAACCCUAAGUCUAGGUGUUGGUUGCAUUUGGAUCCUUUUCUAUGAUUAGUUGAUGGUUAAAUGGGAGCAUUAAGGACCGUCAACAAGCUCCCCCAAGCUUAACCUUUGCUCGUCCCUGAGCAAAGAUGAACUGAUGAGUUUCUGCAGUGGUUUUAUGUCUUAAAGAUAUACAUGCGUUCAAACAAGAUCUCAUCUCUAGGUUAGGGUAAACUGUUAAGAUUUAAACUUACUCAGUGUACCUUCCACCAUGGGGCUUGCAACCGUUACUUGUGUCUUGAGCAGUUAAAAGAUAGAACGGUCUAGUCAAGCGCCAUGUCUCUUGUUCUUUGAUUAACUAUAACUCUAGAGUUUUUGCAGAUUUUCAAAUAAAACUCAGAGAUUCCUUGUAUGACUCUCUCUAGUCUCUCUUUUGUGGUAUUUCUAGAUCCUUUCCAACGCAGUAAUGAUAUAUGCCUUCUCUGAAAGUAUGUAGUAUUUGUGGUAUGAGGCAUAGUGACAUUGCCUUCUCUCUCACCCUACUCUAAUAAGGCUUUUGAUAUGUGGAGCUCAUAGGUGGGAGAGAGCUAAUAUAUACUUACAAGACAUUUAUUGCAUAGUCAAACCAUGGAUCCAGAAGAACAACUCAAUAAGUCAAAUCAAGAUGUGCAUGUGUGGCGAAUGAAUGGUGUAUGGUGAUGAUGGUGAUAAUGGUGAAAACAAUGGUGAAAGUCUAAUUCUACUUUUGCUCUUUUGUGGGGAUGUAUACCUUCCUUGCUCUUUUGAAACUUUUGGGGAGAAUGAGAUGCUCUGUAUUUUCUUUUUCUUUCCUCUUAGGUGGGUAUCUUGUACCCCUAAUUCUACUGUCGGACACUUGUCCAUUUUUACCUCUCGUCUCACUUUUUUUUUCUUUUCUUUCGAGGUUCCAGGCACUUGCCCCUUUUUAUUUCCUCGUAUCCUUUUUUCUCUCUUUUUUAGAGCACUCAUCUCUUGAAAUAAUGUAGCAAGUGGUAGUAACCAAGAUAACUUGAGCAUUAUUUCACAGGGAAAAAUAGAAAUAUUUUUGGCUAUUCUCUCCCGGAUUAGGAGUAGAAUACUUUUGGGUGGUUCUGGAGAUGGAAAUGGAUGGAUAUAUGUGGAUGUGUACUUCCGAAGUAGAAGCAGCAUGUAUGAGUGAACGUGCAAGUGAAUCUUGAUUUUAACCACAUGACAAGCUCCUAAGGGUCUACACAGCUUGACCACACUCAAUGCUCAUAAGUAGUAAAAAGUAAAUGUGUGGCUCAAAGUCUAGCAAGCAUGUAUAUAUGGCUGUGGUAGGAAUUUAAACUCUCAUCAUACAGGAACUCAUCAUGCAACAUUUUAAAGAUUUUCAAAGAUAAAAUUCUCUAGAAUUCUAGCAUCUCUAGGAACAGAUAAACAGCAGCUCAACCUUCCCAUAUCGUAUCCGUUAACGUCUUAGACUUUAGAUCAAGUACUCUUCCCACAAGUUCAGGUUUAGAGCAAAUCUUAAUUAAUAACAGUCAUGCCUAAACUUGAGAGAGAUUUCAAUUUUGAGAACUAGUCAUGGCAGAGCAACUAUUCAUCAUUUCCAUGUGAGAGCUUAUCGUGUUGGUUCAUAGCAAACUUUAUUUAUUUAUUUAUUUAGCAAACUAAGCAAAGAUAUAUAUAUAUAUAUAUAUAUAAGAACAAAAUCUUUAUUUAGGUUUUUAUGAUUAUGCAUCUUUUUAUUAUUUAAGUAAAGUAUAAAUAUGAGUAGAAUACUUAGCUGGAUAAAUGGAGGUGCUCUCCCCCAAGCUGGAUUUUGACGUAGUUUCUCCUGAUGUAGCUAGCAGGUGGCGGAGGUGUAUUUGAAUGUCGGCAGCACUCUAACAGCGAUUAGGAUGUCCUCCGUCUACCAGUCUUCUUUGAUCCUUGAAUUCUGUGGAGCUCAAAUAGACAACAAAACUUUGUGGAACUAGUUAAGUGUUAGCAUAAAUAUUUAGCCUUUAUCCUGUCGAGCCUCCUCAAUAAAUGUUACACUCUUUUGUAGGAUCAUAAAUUUAUUUUUGUAAUUUUAUUUUUAUAGGACAGGAAUAUAUUUAUUUCAUUUUUACGCCACCACAGUGAAUGUACUUAUGGGUUUUAUGCCAUUAGCAUACUCACAUGGGGCUUACUAUUUUAACAUUUUUUUUUUCAAGAUGAUAUGAACCUGAUUAACUAAGCAAACUAUUUUAAGUAAUUGAAAGAAAAAAAAAGAUAACUACCAAGUUUACCUCUUGGCAAGGCGUUCGGUGUUUUUAAGUCCUCCGAACGGGACUCUCCAUUUUCUCAGUCGUCCUGGGAUUUGCUGGAUGGCGUAGUCGGUGGUUCCAGCGGCGCCUGGUCUUCAUGUAUAACUAUCUUCUCUCUCCACAUCUGACUCGGUGCUACGGUCUCCUCAGGAUAGUUUUGUUCAAGUUGUAUGUCUUCAGACCUUACAACUUCUCCUUCAUAGUCUGCCCAACUGUCCUUGAUGAUUUGCCUCCUCUGGUUGUGGUUGCGUCGUCUUCUUCUUGUCCUGACCUGCUUAGAGUCUUUAACUAUAUAGUUAGAGUGAGUAAAAUAGCGGCGUACCUUCUCAGAGGGGAAAUGCAUGUGGACUUCUCUGGUUCCAAUGUAGAUGAUUGCUUUAACGGUGUUGAGGAAUGGUCUUCCAAAGAUGACGGGUGGAUAUAAUUCGUCUUCUCCCAUGUCAAUAACCUUAAAAUCAUCUGGAGCUGAAUGUAUGUUGGUUGUAGGGGCAUGGUUCCAUGCAGGAGCUGAUAAGUGACUGCGGCCAUUAUGUUGACGUCAGAUCCAGUGUCGUAGAGUGUCUUCUGAAAAGAAUAUCCGUUGAUUGUGCAUUCAAUGCUUGGAACACCUGGGUCGUCCUUUUUUGUCAGGAAUGGUGACUUAAAUCGACAAUCUUGACCUCCUUGAACUGCAGUGACCAUCUUAGCUAACUUGGUCCACAUUUGCUUGUUCCUGUCCCUCCUGUUGGUCCUCUUCCUUGGUUCAUGUCGGGAAUGCUUUGAGAUUUGUGUAGUCUUGUUCUCGAAGGAAAACGUCUCCUUCCUCCCCUUGAUGUAGAAACUGAUCUUGGCAGCACUAGCAUAGAUGACAGCUCCUGAGGUGUUCAGGAAUGGCCUCCAUAGGAUGAUGGGUGCCCUCCCAUUAGUACCAGUCUCUAUCACCACGAAGUCUGUUGGGGCGUACAAGGUACCAACUCAGACACAGAGGCUCUUCAUUACUCCCUUUGGGAAACUUAGCGUACGAUCUGCAAGCUGCAAACACAUGGCUGUCUAAUAAAGGAUGUGUAAAGAAUUUUUCAUAGAGUACCCUAAGCAUAAUGUUGAGGCUGGAGCCAAAGUCGCAGAGUGCUUCUGGGAAGUCCACUAUGCCGACGGAGAUCGGGAUGACGGGGCGUCCUGGAUUGUCUCUGAGUAGUUUGGCCUCUGUUAAUUCCAACCUUGAUUUUGUCGAGGACGGUUGUAGUAGUAGUUGUUGUUGAAGUAGUUUACGUUCUCAAGCAUCUCAGGGCAGUGAUUGCCUGAGUGUCCAGUAUCUCCAGUGUGUUUUGCUCGUAGAUCUAGAUUCUUCACUUGGUGGAGUCUGGGAGUUGUAAAAUUCCUUCAUAUUUUGCUCGAAGUGUACCUGCUCAUUGUUGGGUAUUUUAAACGCAGAUAGAAAAAUCCGCAAGCGCACGGAUACCGAUGUAGCUUUCACCCGGGAGUAUUCCAGAGUAUCGAUUUUCCACAAAGAACAUGAGUGUACUAAUUAAGAUCCAAGAUCGCCCAAGGAUAACUAUAUAAUUAUUUUUGGUGGGAAGAGAGGAAGUUUCCUGAGAGUUCUCUAGUUGAUCUAAGAAUCAAGAAUUACUUCAAGAUUAUCUAUUUCGGGACAUCAGAACACUAACCAAAGAAAGAGAUGAGAAGGGGGUUAGGAAGCUCCGACUACGGUCCUACAAACACCGAUCCAAACGAGGUGGAAUACGUCGACCGUUAGGGCUAUCACUACCCUAAGGCUACCACAACAAUCCGCAGGAUUGGGUGCAAUUCCAGGUAAUUGCAAGACUAAACACGACGUCUAAUCUAUUAAUUACUACUCUAGCGUUAUAAAGACUAGAGCACUUGAUGCAAGCGAGAAUCCAAUAAAUAACUUGAAUGUAAAUAAAAGUAAUUAAAGAACUCAGGAAUUAUGAAUUGAAGAACUUGGAGAAUGAUGAAGAACGAACCAGUUCCUACAAAAGUAUAAUGUUGAGGAAGAUCCGACAGAUCCGGCUCCUCCUCCGCUCUCCUCUUCUCUCUCCCUAUUUUCUAGAUUACAACUAGAACUGACUAGAACUAGAACUAGAGGAACUAAAACUAGAACUAGAUGAACUAGAACUAGAUCUAGAUGAACUAGAGGUAGAACUAGAAGAACUAGAGGGAUCCUCUCUACUUGGAUGAAGAAUUGAAACCCUAACUUUGAUUCUGUAGAAGAGGUAUGAUCUCUAGGGGCCAGGAGGUCUGGUUUUAUAGUCCCUUCAAGUGAAUAUAGGCCAUUGGAUCAAACCGACAUUGAUUGAACGGUUAUCCUUGAUCCUUUAGGUCGGUGGAGCAAUAUCCCGAAAGAGAGUCCUGAUUGGACUCUGGUUGAGGGCGGGCGCCCAGGAAAGGAGGGCGGGCACCCUGUCCCUGAGUCCUCUCGGCCUCCGCUUCGGUCCCGUGGCUUCUGGAGUCUUCUAGAUGAUAGAAAAUUGCGCAGCACAUUAAUAUCUCUAUGUAAACUCGACGUGUGGUCCUUUCUUCCGUAUUUCCUGAAAACCCCCUGCAGAAAUAGACAAACACCAAAACUCGUGGAAUUCUGUAAGAUAAAACCCUAAGUCUAGGUGUUGGUUGCAUUUGGAUCCUUUUCCAUGAUUAGUUGAUGGUUAAAUAUGAGCAUUAAGGACCGUCAACAAGCUCCCCCAAGCUUAACCUUUGCUCGUCCCUGAGCAAAGAUGAACUCAAGAGUUUCUGCAGUGGUUUCAUGCUUUAACGAUACACAUGCGUUCAAACAAGAUCUCAUCUCUAGGUUAGGGUAAACUGUUAAGAUUUAAACUUUCUCAUUUUUCCUUUCACCAUGGGGCUUGCAACCGUCACUUAUGUCUUGAGCAGUUAAAAGAUAGAAUGGUCUAGUCAAGCGCCAUGUCUCUUGUUCUUCGAUUAACUAUAGCUCUGGAGUUUUUGCAGACUUCCAAAAAAACUCAGAGAUUCAUUGUAUGACUCUCUCUAGUCUCUCAUUUGUGGUAUUUCUAGAUCCUUACCAAGGCAGUAAUAGUGUAUGCCUUCUCUUAAGUAUGUGGUAUUUUUGGUAUGAGGCAUAGUGGCAUUGCCUUCUCUCUCACCCUACUCUAAUAAGGCUUUUGAUAUCUGGAGCUCAUAGGUGGGAGACAGCUAAUACAUACUUACAAGACAUUUAUUGCAUAGUCAAACCAUGGAUCCAGAGAAACAAGUCAAUAAGUCAAAUCAAGAUGUGCAUGUGUUGCGAAUGAAUGGUGUAUGGUGAUGAUGGUGAUAACAAUGGUGAAAGUCUAAUUCUACUUUUGCUCUUUUGAGACAAUACAUACCUUUCUUGCUCUUUUGAAACUUUUUGAGGAGAAUGAGAUGCUCUAUAUUUUCUCUUUUUUUUCUUUCAGGUGGGUAUCUUGUACCCCUAAUUCUACUAUCGGACACUUGUCCAUUUUUACCUCUCGUCUCACUUUUUUUUUUGAGGUUCCGGGCACUUGCCCCUUUUUAUUUCCUCGUAUCUUUUUUUCUGUUUUUUUUGGAGCACUCAUCUCUUAAAAUAAUGUAGCAAGUGGUAGUAACCAAGAUAACUUGAGCAUUUAUUUCACAGGGAAAAACAGAAAUGUUUUUGGCUAUUCUCUCCCGGAUUAGGAGUAGAAUAUUUUUAGGUGAUUCUGGAUAUGGAAAUGGGUGGAUAUAUGUGGAUGCGUACUUCCGGAGUAGAAGCAGCAUGUGUGAAUGAACGUGUAAGUGAAUCUUGAUUUUAACCACAUGACAAGCUGCUAAGGGUCUACACAGCUUGACCACACUCAAUGCUCAUAAGCAGUAAAAUGUAAAUGUGUGGCUCAAAGUCUAGCAAGCAUGUAUAAAUGGCUGUGGUAGGAAUUUAAACUCUCAUCAUACAGGAACUCAUCAUGUAACAUUUUAAAGAUUUUCAAAGAUAAAAUUCUCCAGAAUUCUAGCAUCUCUAGGAACAGAUAAACAGCAGCUCAACCUUCCCAUAUCAUAUCCGUUAACGACUUAGACUUUAGAUCAAGUACUCUUCCCACAAGUUUAGGUUUAGAGCAAAUCUUAAUUAAUAACAGUCAUGCCUAAACUUGAGAGAGAUUUCAAUUUUGAGAACUAGUCAUGGUAGAGCAACUAUUCAUUAUUUCCAUGUGAGAGCUUAUCAUGAGGGUUCAUAGCAAACUUUAUUUAUUUAUUUAUUUAGCAAACUAAGCAAAUAUAUAUAUAUGAGAACAAAAUUUUUAUUUGGGUUUUUAUGAUUAUGCAUCUUUUUAUGAUUUGAGUAAAGUAUAAACAUGAGAAGAACACUUAGCUGGAUAAAUGGGGUUGCUCUCCCCCAAGCUGGAUUUUGAUGUAAUUUCUUCUGAUGUAGCUAGCUGGUGGCGGAGGUGUAUUUGAAUGUCGGCAGCACCCUGACAGUGAUUAGGAUGUUCUCCGUCUGCUAGUCUUCUUUGAUCCUUGAAUUCUGUGGAGCUCAAAUAGACAACAAAGCUUUGUGGAACUGGUUAAGUGUUAGCAUAAAUAUCUAGCCUUUAUCAUGUUGAGCUUCCUCAAUAAAUGUUACUCUCUUUAGAAGGAUCAUAAAUUGAUUUUUAUAUUUUUAUUUUUUUAUAGGACUGGAAUAUAUUUAUUUUAUUUUUACGCCACCACAGUGAAUGUACUUAUGGGUUUUAUGCCAUGAGCAUACUCACAUGGGGCUUACUAUUUUUUAACAUUUUUAUUUUCUUUUCAAUAUGAUAUGAACCUGAUUAACUAAACAAACUAUUUUAAAUAAUUUAAAGGAAAAGGAUAACUACCAAGUUUACCUCUUGGCAAGGCGUUCAGUGUUUUUAAGUCCUCCGAACGGGACUCUCCAUUUUCUCAGUCGUCCUGGGAUUCGCUGGAUGGCGUAGUCAGUGGUUCCGGCGACGCCUCCUCUUCCUGUAUAGUUAUCUUCUCUCUACACACCUGACUCGGUGCUACGGUCUCCUCAGGACAGUUUUGUUCAAGCUGUAUGUCUUUAGACCUUACUACUUCUUCUUCAUAGUCUACCCAUCCGUCCUUGAUGAUUUGCCUUCUCUGAUUGCGGUUGCGUCGUCCUCUUCUUGUCCUGACCUGCUUAGAGUCUUCAACUAUAUAGUUAGGGUUAGUAAAAUAGCGGCGUACCGUCUCAGAGGGGAAGUUCAUGUGGACUUCUCCGGUUCCAAUGUAGAUGAUUGUUUUAACGGUGCUGAGGAACUGUCUCCCAAAGAUGAUGGGUGGAACGUACUCAUCUUCUCCCAUGUCAAUAACCUUAAAAUCCUCUGGAGCUGAAUGUAUGUUGGUUGUAGGGGCAUAGGUUCCAUGCAGGAGCUGAUAAGUGACUGCAGCCAUUAUGUUGACGUCAGAUCCGGUGUCGCAGAGUGUCUUCUGAAAAUAAUAUCCGUUGAAUGCGCACUCGAUGCUUGGAACACCAGGGUCGUCCUUCUUGAUCAAGAAAGGCGACUUGAGUUGACGAUCUUGACCUCCUUGAGCUGUAGUGACCAUCUUAGCUGACUCAGUCCAUAUUUGCUUGUUCCUGUUCCUCCUGUUGGUCCUCUUCCUAGGUUCAUGUCGGGAUUACACUGAGACUUGUGUAGUCUUGUUCUUGAAGGAAAACGUCUCCUUCCUCCCAUUGAUGUAGAAACUGAUCUUAGCAGCACUAUCGUAGAUGACAGCUCCUGAGGUGUUAAGGAAUGGCCUCCCUAGGAUGAUGGGUGCCCUCUCAUCAGUACCAGUCUUUAUUACCAAGAAGUCUGCUGGGGCGUACAAGGUACGAACUUGGACGCAGAGGUUCUUCAAUAUUCCCUUUGGGAAACUUAGUGUCCGAUCUGCAAGCCUGAGCAUAAUGUUGAUGCUGGAGCCAAAGUCGCAGAGUGCUUCUAGGAAGUCCACCAUGCCGAUGGAGAUCGGGAUGACGGGGCGUCCUGGAUCGUCUCUCUUGACCGGCAGAAGGUCAGUAAUUACAUCCACAACGGGGUUACUCCAGUAGUUAUGUCCUCAAGCAUCUUAGGGCAGUGAUUGCCUGAGUGUCCAGUAUCUCCAGUGUGUUUGUGCUCGAGAUCUAGGUUCAUCACUUGGUGGAGUCUGGGAGUUGUAAAAGUCCUUCAUAGUUUGCUUGAAGUGUACCUACUCAUAGAGACAAGGCAGAGAUCAAGUGCAUGGGCUCUGUUGGUGGAAAACACCAACAGAACCAAAAGUGUAUUUAUUCUUCUCUAUCCUUAAGCAUAGUGAGCAAGACAAAGUUGAUGGAUAAUAAGAUCAUGACUGUAGCAUUUAUAACAUUUGUCAGAUCAGAUCGCUCAACCUAAUGGAAAGAUAAUCUAUCUAUACUUAUGUUUUUUUAUAUAUCUUCCAA
RNAcentral lists this long non-coding RNA (9017 nucleotides) under Sorghum bicolor (sorghum). RNAcentral describes it as "long non-coding RNA (SBIC_LNC008344)". The record is from RNAcentral. Lineage: Eukaryota; Viridiplantae; Streptophyta; Magnoliopsida; Poales; Poaceae.